CAUCAACAGAAGCAGAGUAUACAUGCCAUCUUUGGGAUUUUUCAGGACUACCCAUCACAUAUGCCACACUAUCCAAACCGAGUUUAACAAAAUGGCCAUCAAGGACAGCUACUUCCUCAGAGAAGCUUCUAUGUGGAAAUGACUGAGCCCCAGGAAAUAUGAAGCUCCCACGAGUAUACCUCACAGAACAUACAGUGAGUGAAAGAGUAUCAGCCAAUUUCAGAAUUGCUGGGAUUGAAAGAAGCAAUUUGGUAGUCCCACAAGUUUUAAUGAUAACUUUGUAAGGGUACACAAAGAGACUAGAUUCUGAAAGAACAUAGGAAUCAAUGUGAUCAUUUGAAAGCGAAUCAACAAUGGUGCAUUCAGCUGGUUUGAGAAUCUCAUCUAAUUGAGAUUUGGACAGAGAGCGGAGGCCCAUCCCUCCAGGAUCAG
Molecule: unclassified non-coding RNA, 432 nt
Filed under: Hevea brasiliensis (rubber tree)
Lineage: Eukaryota; Viridiplantae; Streptophyta; Magnoliopsida; Malpighiales; Euphorbiaceae
Source: RNAcentral